GAUGAACGCUAGCGGCAGGCUUAAUACAUGCAAGUCGAGGGGCAGCGCAGUGUAGCAAUACAUGGGCGGCGACCGGCAAACGGGUGCGGAACACGUACGCAACCUUCCUUUAACUGGGAGAUAGCCCACCGAAAGGUGGAUUAAUAUCCCGUAGUAUAUUUGAAUGGCAUCAUUUAGAUAUUAAAGCUCCGGCGGUUAAAGAUGGGCGUGCGUCUGAUUAGGUAGUUGGCGGGGUAACGGCCCACCAAGCCCACGAUCAGUAGCUGAUGUGAGAGCAUGAUCAGCCACACGGGCACUGAGACACGGGCCCGACUCCUACGGGAGGCAGCAGUAAGGAAUAUUGGUCAAUGGACGCAAGUCUGAACCAGCCAUGCCGCGUGGAGGAUGAAGGUCCUCUGGAUUGUAAACUUCUUUUCUUUGGGACGAAACCCCUGUUUCUACGGGGACUGACGGUACCAGAGGAAUAAGCACCGGCUAACUCCGUGCCAGCCGCCGCGGUAA
RNAcentral lists this ribosomal RNA (501 nucleotides) under uncultured bacterium. RNAcentral describes it as "partial 16S ribosomal RNA". It matches the Rfam family "Bacterial small subunit ribosomal RNA", at positions 28 to 523 of the family's 1533-position model. The record is from RNAcentral.